This 64-nucleotide transfer RNA is filed under the name Conus betulinus. RNAcentral describes it as "tRNA-Cys". The record is from RNAcentral. Lineage: Eukaryota; Metazoa; Mollusca; Gastropoda; Neogastropoda; Conidae.
CUCACUGUAGUUUAUAGAAAACAUCGACUUGCAAAAUCGAAAAAGGACGAACAUCUCAGUGUGU